UGGGGAAUUUUGGACAAUGGGCGAAAGCCUGAUCCAGCAAUGCCGCGUGUGUGAAGAAGGCCUUCGGGUUGUAAAGCACUUUUGUCCGGAAAGAAAUCCUUGGCUCUAAUACAGUCGGGGGAUGACGGUACCGGAAGAAUAAGCACCGGCUAACUACGUGCCAGCAGCCGCGGUAAUACGUAGGGUGCAAGCGUUAAUCGGAAUUACUGGGCGUAAAGCGUGCGCAGGCGGUUUGCUAAGACCGAUGUGAAAUCCCCGGGCUCAACCUGGGAACUGCAUUGGUGACUGGCAGGCUAGAGUAUGGCAGAGGGGGGUAGAAUUCCACGUGUAGCAGUGAAUGCGUAGAGAUGUGGAGGAAUACCGAUGGCGAAGGCAGCCCCCUGGGCCAAAUACUGACGCUCAUGCACGAAAGCGUGGGGAGCAAACAGGAUUAGAUACCCUGGUAGUCCACGCCCUAAACGAUGUCAACUAGUUGUUGGGGAUUCAUUUCCUUAGUAACGUAGCUAACGCGUGAAGUUGACCGCCU
This 526-nucleotide ribosomal RNA is filed under the name uncultured bacterium. Its description in RNAcentral is "partial 16S ribosomal RNA". It matches the Rfam family "Bacterial small subunit ribosomal RNA", at positions 355 to 874 of the family's 1533-position model. The record is from RNAcentral.